CUUAUUUAGGAAUAGGAUGGGAGGCAGCUCCCAGCUUGACUUUCCCCUUUGUUUAGUGAUUGAUUUAUUUUCCUUUCAUACCUAAUAUGAGACUGUUCAUAGGAGCUUCAUUCACAGCAGGCGGAAGCACUCAUCUGGUGUCUAUCCAGUGUGGAUAGAUGGUGGUGUUCCAUGCAGUAGAAUUUUCCUCAGCAACACCAAGGAGCAAACCGCUGAUCCUAGCAGAGACACGCUGGAUCUCGGGACCGCUACGCUGAGUGGAAGACACCAGAUGGAAAAGGGUGCCUGCUCUGUGACCCAGAUUCUAUGAAGUCUCUAGACUCACUCAAACCACCUCUGACUAAAGAAGCCAGACCCAGUGUACUCUGGGGCCUGCCUGGAUGGGGCAGAGACGUUCUGUGGGGUGAUGGGUGAGCUCUGUCAUCCUGGGGGGCUCCCUGAGCACGUGCCAUGUAUGUGAAUGAUAUCUCAAUACAUUUCCCUUAAACGGGAGAGGCACACCCUGUCUGCACAUUUCCAGCAGUGGUGGUUGGGUGAGGGCCGUGACAGGCAGCUCAGCUGUAGAACUGUGGCCUCGCUCCUGUGCAAUUCCGUUCAUUUACUCAUUCAACAGUAUCUUUAGAGCAGCCACUGAGUUCCAGGCUCCGUCUGGCACUUGGGAAGCAGCAGUGAACAAAGGAAUGAAACCCGGAGCUGGCAUUCCCGCGAGUCUGCAGAGGCAGCUUCCUCCAGGGCUCCCUGCUGCCUGGGGCUGCAGCCUCCUCUCUCCAGGGGAUUUGGCACCACCAAAGCUCCCCGCUGGCAGCUGUCGGACUCCUUCAUGCAGAGCAGAGCGGUGCCCAUGACGCUGUUGCUCCCCAGUCUUCGUAAUGAUGAUGUAGUUUCCUUAAAGUCCUAGACUCAAAAGUGGGAAAGGGUCAGAGGCCAUAUCUCUAAUUUCAUUGGUAUAAUUGCAAAAGAAUAGAUUUUGGUGAGUGUGACUUCUGGAAGAAAGGUAAUAAAUUAAAAUAUACAAAGAAAAUUUUAAAAUAUUGAGUAAUUAUUCACCCCAAAUAGUCAAGCACCAUAUUAAGCUUCUUAAAUUAUGGUGCUGGCUUCUUUCUCGCUCUGUUGCUCAAAUAUUGUGGUAGUUUAGUGUGCAUGGGCUCUCCCUUCUGUAUUUCUCGUCAGAAGGCCUAGUUAGUUUCCACGAUGGUUAUGGACAUACGCUUUGGUGUGACUGUGUUCCCUGCAUUCGGAAAUGCCUUCCUAGGUCGGGAUGCUCACCUUCCACCACAUGCUCCCCAGGACCUUGCUCCUCCUGCCGGAUUUGAAAACUGGUCCGCAUCCCUCUCCUAUCCUUCUUUCUCAUAGCUUCUGCCUUUGACACUAAGAGGGUGGCCAAAUGACCUCCAGGCAAGAGAUGGUGGGGCUGGGGCAGGCAGGGGAAAGGACUGCAGUCCCGGUGCCCACACGGCUGCUCAGGCAGGCCCCAGGAUGAGCCUGCAGAGUCAGCAUGCUAAGGCCCUCUGCUUGCCUAGGGUCGACGUGUUCCCCUUCCCACGUUGGAGGCAUGUGAUCCUGUCUGCUGCACUAUGUGAAAGAAAACACCACUCGUUGCACAAUUUUCCUUUGUCUCCAUAGAUUCAAACUUUGUGAGAUAUCUCAGGAAUUCCCCUGGAGUUUGUACAAAAUCUUUGCAUAUAUUAUCAUUUACCUUAGGUGAAAACAUUUGAAAUCAACUAUUUCAAGGACUGGGAAUAGAGGAGAGAGGUGAAUGAGUGGCUCUUACUCAUUGGAAAGUUAAUGCCAUUCAGAAUGUAGUAAUCCAUUUAGAGGGCAUAAAUCUGAAUACGUGCUCUGUAGGCUACAUUCUAUAUGGCAGAGUUUUCAUCCCAGACAUCCAUUGCUCAUAUUGCCAAAAAACCAUGACUGGAGAGAAACUGUCAGCCUUUGAAACAAUACACGUCGUAGGCAAGUUUUUUGACUAAACGUAGAAAAUAUGACCUAUGUUUUAGUUCUUAUAUGCCAGCUAGUGAUAAUUUUUGGUGUGGGCUGUGAUAUGAUAAGGAAACAGAAAG
Molecule: long non-coding RNA, 2060 nt
Filed under: Homo sapiens (human)
Lineage: Eukaryota; Metazoa; Chordata; Mammalia; Primates; Hominidae
Description: non-protein coding lnc-WDR27-1:16
Source: RNAcentral